CAUGCAAGUCGAACGAUGAUCCCAGCUUGCUGGGGGAUUAGUGGCGAACGGGUGAGUAACACGUGAGUAACCUGCCCUUGACUCUGGGAUAAGCCUGGGAAACUGGGUCUAAUACCGGAUAUGACUCCUCAUCGCAUGGUGGGGGGUGGAAAGCUUUUGUGGUUUUGGAUGGACUCGCGGCCUAUCAGCUUGUUGGUGGGGUAAUGGCCUACCAAGGCGACGACGGGUAGCCGGCCUGAGAGGGUGACCGGCCACACUGGGACUGAGACACGGCCCAGACUCCUACGGGAGGCAGCAGUGGGGAAUAUUGCACAAUGGGCGCAAGCCUGAUGCAGCGACGCCGCGUGAGGGAUGACGGCCUUCGGGUUGUAAACCUCUUUCAGUAGGGAAGAAGCGUAAGUGACGGUACCUGCAGAAGAAGCGCCGGCUAACUACGUGCCAGCAGCCGCGGUAAUACGUAGGGCGCAAGCGUUAUCCGGAAUUAUUGGGCGUAAAGAGCUCGUAGGCGGUUUGUCGCGUCUGCUGUGAAAGACCGGGGCUCAACUCCGGUUCUGCAGUGGGUACGGGCAGACUAGAGUGCAGUAGGGGAGACUGGAAUUCCUGGUGUAGCGGUGAAAUGCGCAGAUAUCAGGAGGAACACCGAUGGCGAAGGCAGGUCUCUGGGCUGUAACUGACGCUGAGGAGCGAAAGCAUGGGGAGCGAACAGGAUUAGAUACCCUGGUAGUCCAUGCCGUAAACGUUGGGCACUAGGUGUGGGGGACAUUCCACGUUUUCCGCGCCGUAGCUAACGCAUUAAGUGCCCCGCCUGGGGAGUACGGCCGCAAGGCUAAAACUCAAA
Molecule: ribosomal RNA, 838 nt
Filed under: Paenarthrobacter nicotinovorans
Lineage: Bacteria; Bacillati; Actinomycetota; Actinomycetes; Micrococcales; Micrococcaceae
Description: bacterial SSU rRNA
Rfam family: Bacterial small subunit ribosomal RNA
Source: RNAcentral